AGAAGUGAAUUAAGGGCAUUUGGUGGAUGCCUUGGCAUGCACAGGCGAAGAAGGACGUGAUACGCUGCGAAAAGCUGUGGGGAGCUGCGAAUAAGCUUUGAUCCAUAGAUAUCCGAAUGGGGCAACCCACCUUAAAUACCUAGAAAAUCUGUUUUGCUGAACACCUUGAAUAAGACUUUUGAUCGGUUUGCAUGGGACUUCCCAUACAGACCGUUAGGUCGUCGCCGAUUGUUCGGCGCGCCGUCCGCAGGCCUUCGGCCGUGAGGACAAAAGAAGCCCCGAGCGUGGGGCAUGAGGGUUCGGCAAAAGAGGUUUCUAGGUAUUGUUAUAAGGUAUCUUACUUUCGAAUACAUAGGGGUAAGAAGCGAACGCAGGGAACUGAAACAUCUAAGUACCUGCAGGAAAGGACAUCAACCGAGACUCCGUAAGUAGUGGCGAGCGAACGCGGACCAGGCCAGUGGCAAUGAUGAAUAAAGCGGAACGAUCUGGAAAGGUCGGCCAUAGAGGGUGAUAGCCCCUUACGCGUAGAACAGUCAUUGUCCUUGAGUAGGGCGGGACACGUGAAAUCCUGUCUGAACAUGGGGAGACCACUCUCCAAGCCUAAGUACUCGUGCAUGACCGAUAGCGAACAAGUACCGUGAGGGAAAGGUGAAAAGCACCCCGACGAGGGGAGUGAAAUAGAACCUGAAACCGGAUGCCUACAAACAGUCGGAGCCCGCAAGGGUGACGGCGUACCUUUUGUAUAAUGGGUCAACGACUUAGUGUAACUAGCAAGCUUAAGCCGGUAGGUGUAGGCGCAGCGAAAGCGAGUCUGAAUAGGGCGAUUUAGUUAGUUGCAUUAGACCCGAAACCGAGUGAUCUAGCCAUGAGCAGGCUGAAGGUUGGGUAACACCAACUGGAGGGCCGAACCCGUAUCUGUUGCAAUAGAUUGGGAUGACUUGUGGCUAGGGGUGAAAGGCCAAUCAAACUCGGAAAUAGCUGGUUCUCCGCGAAAUCUAUUUAGGUAGAGCGUCGACCGAAUACCCUCGGGGGUAGAGCACUGGAUGGGCUAUGGGGACUCACCGUCUUACUGAUCCUAACCAAACUCCGAAUACCGAGGAGUACUAGUCGGCAGACACACGGCGGGUGCUAACGUCCGUCGUGAAAAGGGCAACAACCCUGACCUCCAGCUAAGGUCCCCAAGUCAUGGCUAAGUGGGAAAGGAUGUGAGGAUCCCAAAACAACCAGGAUGUUGGCUUAGAAGCAGCCAUCAUUUAAAGAAAGCGUAACAGCUCACUGGUCUAAAUAAGGGUCUUUGCGCCGAAAAUGUAACGGGGCUAAAGCCAUGCACCGAAGCUGAGGAUUGUGGCAACCUUCGGGUUGCUUCAGUGGUAGCGGAGCGUUCCGUAAGUCUGUGAAGGCGGACCCGUGAGGGCUGCUGGAGAUAUCGGAAGUGCGAAUGUUGACAUGAGUAACGAUAAAGGGAGUGAGAGACUCCCUCGCCGAAAGACCAAGGGUUCCUGCUUAAAGUUAAUCUGAGCAGGGUUAGCCGGCCCCUAAGACGAGGCGGACACGCGUAGUCGAUGGGAACCACGUUAAUAUUCGUGGGCCUGGUGGUAGUGACGGAUCUCGUGUGUUGUACAUUCUUAUUGGAUUGGAUGUGCAGCGAAGAGGUUCCAGGAAAUAGCUCCACCGUAUAGACCGUACCCGAAACCGACACAGGUGGUCAGGUAGAGUAUACCAAGGCGCUUGAGAGAACUAUGUUGAAGGAACUCGGCAAAUUGCACGCGUAACUUCGGAAGAAGCGUGACCCCAUUUUACGCAAGUAUGAUGGGGUGGCACAGACCAGGGGGUAGCGACUGUUUAUCAAAAACACAGGGCUCUGCGAAGUAGCAAUACGACGUAUAGGGUCUGACGCCUGCCCGGUGCUGGAAGGUUAAAGGGAGGGGUGCAAGCUCUGAACUGAAGCCCCAGUAAACGGCGGCCGUAACUAUAACGGUCCUAAGGUAGCGAAAUUCCUUGUCGGGUAAGUUCCGACCUGCACGAAUGGCGUAACGACUUCCCCGCUGUCUCCAACAUAGACUCAGUGAAAUUGAAUUCCCCGUGAAGAUGCGGGGUUCCUGCGGUCAGACGGAAAGACCCCGUGCACCUUUACUAUAGCUUUACACUGGCAUUCGCCAAGGCAUGUGUAGGAUAGGUGGUAGGCUUUGAAGCAGGGACGCCAGUCUUUGUGGAGCCAUCCUUGAAAUACCACCCUUAUCUUCGUGGAUGUCUAACCGCGGUCCGUUAUCCGGAUCCGGGACAGUGUAUGGUGGGUAGUUUGACUGGGGCGGUCGCCUCCGAAAGAGUAACGGAGGCGCGCGAUGGUGGGCUCAGACCGGUCGGAAAUCGGUCGUCGAGUGCAAUGGCAUAAGCCCGCCUGACUGCGAGACUGACAAGUCGAGCAGAGACGAAAGUCGGUCAUAGUGAUCCGGUGGUCCCGUGUGGAAGGGCCAUCGCUCAACGGAUAAAAGGUACGCCGGGGAUAACAGGCUGAUGACCCCCAAGAGUCCAUAUCGACGGGG
RNAcentral lists this ribosomal RNA (2543 nucleotides) under Martinezella rhizogenes. Its description in RNAcentral is "Agrobacterium rhizogenes partial 23S ribosomal RNA". It matches the Rfam family "Bacterial large subunit ribosomal RNA", at positions 1 to 2513 of the family's 2925-position model. Lineage: Bacteria; Pseudomonadati; Pseudomonadota; Alphaproteobacteria; Hyphomicrobiales; Rhizobiaceae. The record is from RNAcentral.